Molecule: non-coding RNA, 558 nt
Organism: Equus quagga
Lineage: Eukaryota; Metazoa; Chordata; Mammalia; Perissodactyla; Equidae
Source: the annotation of a RefSeq genome assembly
AUGGGCAGGCUCCUGGGGGCAUCAUUGUGGAUUCUGUGGCUUCAGCCAUACUGGGUUAAUAGCCAACAGAAGAAUGGUGACCAGCAACAGGUCAAGCAAAAUUCUCCAUCUGUGAGUGUGCAAGAAGGAGGAAUUUCUAUUCUGAACUGUGACUACAAUAAUAAGUUAUUUGAUUACUUCCUAUGGUACAGAAAAUACCCUGCUAAAGGUCCUGCACUCCUGAUAUCAAUACGCUUAGGUAUGGAUAAAAAUGAAGAUGGAAGAUUCACAGUCUUCCUCAACAAAAGUACUAAACACCUCUCUCUGCACAUUACGGCCUCCCGGCCUGGAGACUCUGCCUUGUACCUUUGCUCAGAAGACGUCGAAGCAUUUGACACAUUGUCCAUCAGUAAAAAGUGUUGCCUUGUGGAUCAUAAUAACAAACACAGGCAUGUCGUGAAGCUUUUCAACUAUAAAGAUCUUGCUAUUGGUAGCCAUCCUGAUUCUCAGUUGCAAUGGAUAUAUGGCAUUGAACAUUCAGGAUGCAGCUCCAAGUUGAGAGUGAAGAAACAUGCCUAG